UACGUAGGGGGCAAGCGUUGUCCGGAAUCAUUGGGCGUAAAGAGCGCGUAGGUGGCUAUGUAAGUCCGUUGUGAAAGUCAAAGGCUCAACCUUUGAAAGCCGAUGGAUACUGCAUAGCUAGAGUACGGAAGAGGCGAGUGGAAUUCCUGGUGUAGCGGUGGAAUGCGCAGAUAUCAGGAAGAACACCCGUGGCGAAGGCGGCUCUCUGGGACGGUACUGACGCUGAGACGCGAAAGCGUGGGGAGCGAACAGG
RNAcentral lists this ribosomal RNA (253 nucleotides) under uncultured bacterium. RNAcentral describes it as "partial 16S ribosomal RNA". It matches the Rfam family "Bacterial small subunit ribosomal RNA", at positions 524 to 776 of the family's 1533-position model. The record is from RNAcentral.